This is a long non-coding RNA of Uranotaenia lowii, 1641 nucleotides long. RefSeq lists it as uncharacterized. The transcript has 3 exons. The record is from RefSeq and is a predicted model, not a curated record. Lineage: Eukaryota; Metazoa; Arthropoda; Insecta; Diptera; Culicidae.
GAAUAUUUGAGAAUAUAAUUCUAAAUUGUUCAAGCUAUUUAGGAAUAGUUGCCGUUUUAAAUUGUAUUUUACUCCUGUACAUAUUCUUAGUUCAUUCAAAUAGUAAGUUGAGUAUUUUCGGCUCGGUAUUUUAGUAUAAUGUUCGAUUGAUUUAAUGCGCAAAGGCGUGGGUGAAUAUUCUUUUUUAAGAUUUCAUGCAUCGCAGCAGUAUCACCAACUACAGAGACUAAAACUGCUCUCAAAGUGAAAGUAGAACCAUUUGUCCGCGAGACGGCACAGUGAGAACCAAAUAUAUUCUAUUAAAAGAAGAGUUGAUGAUCGGAUCAAAGUUUUGAACUUUGAUACUAAAAUUGGUUAACUUUUUUUUUCCUCUACGAGAUCCGAGUGGAUUUAGGUAUUCAACCUGUAAUACAAAAUAUUUCAAAAAAUAAAUACCUAAAUUGAAGGCAAUGUUGUUUUUAAAAAAAAAUACAUCUAGUCCGGUACUGCUUUAGAAAAUUUUAAUAGAGCUUUUUAAAUAAAAUUGAACAUUUAUAUUUAUAAAUACCUCGUCCACGUGUAACAAAAGUCGUAAAGCCGUUGGAUAUAUCUGCAAAAAGCUAUGCUGACGGAAUAAUAACCCGUCUUUGAAUCCGUAUUUUGUUGAUGUACCAGAAGGUGAUUCGGCUGAGAUUGCUUCGCGUGCUAGACGAUUCCUCAUUAGUAACUUGAGAAUAUCAACGAUCGAAAUAUAAUGAGCAUGAUCGUUCACUGUUUUCACACUUGUAUGACGAUUGGAUGAUCGCCCAACUAAAUUCCGUCUGAAAUUGCGGGCUACGACAACUUUUCUCUGUCCAAGUGUGAUUUCUGUUACCGUUGGGAUUGAUCCUUCAGCCUUAGAUGACAAAUAUAUUAAACUGUCAUUCGGCGUUUUUACUUCGGUGAACAAGUCAUCACACUUCAAAUUGGUCAUGAGUUCUAUAACAUCCGAAUCUGUGUCAGAAAUACCUUUAACUUCAGCGAAUCUUUUUAUUUGACCACUUGCAUAGUUAUAGUAUGAAUUCAGGAGUUCCGAAGAUAUUUCAAUCACUUUAGCGAUUUUAGACUCCGGAAUUGACACGUCGCAGCGCAAUGUGGUUAUGAUAUUUGAAAUUAAAUUUUUUAAACCAUUAAUUGUAACCGUUCUGUCUUCAAAAGGGUUUACGCGAUCACUUUCAAAAAUUGGAUGAACCUCCUCUACCUCUACUUCUGCUUCGUUGUUAAGAUCUAUUGAAUCGUUGAUCGAACCAUGGAUAGACACUAUGUGGCCAAAAUAGUUUUUAAAAUAAACGAAAGUCAUCUUGCAUUCCAUGCAAGCUACCGGAAUUGCAUUUCUUUCCCUUAAUUUAAUUUUAUGGAUGCUUUUGGAGUGCCUUUUAAAUUCAGCCAUUCCUCCGGGAAUUAUGUUUCGGCAUAUCCCACAUUUAUAUCCUAUGUAUUAUAAACAGUUAAUUCCUAAGAAUGAUGAAAAUAAACAAACUUACCGUUAAGUUCUCUGUUUUCCAUCUAAAGAUUGCUUUAACCUGCGGAUUUACCUUUAAAAAGUAUUCAAUCACUUAGAAACAACAAAUAACAAUCAUAGCUUUGAAUCGAACUGAUCAGAAUCUACUCAGUUUUCGCCUC